Molecule: unclassified non-coding RNA, 1536 nt
Filed under: Hevea brasiliensis (rubber tree)
Lineage: Eukaryota; Viridiplantae; Streptophyta; Magnoliopsida; Malpighiales; Euphorbiaceae
Source: RNAcentral
GAAAAAUAUAACAAAUAAAUUGAAAGAAAAAAAAAUCUAUUGAAUCUCUUUCAUUUCUCCAAUUUGUCUUUAAUAAUAAUAAUUAUUAUGAUCUCCACCUCGCCAAUGAAUUUGAGUUUCCAUCAAACAAUUCCUCAAUUAAAUUCUCAAUAUCUUCUGCUUGGUACUUUACAUACUUUUCCGUUUGCCUACCCGCCGAAAAGUACUGCUGGAACCGCCCCAGAAAUGACCGGUAAGCAGGAAUAACCACCGCUGAUACCGAAACCCGAAGCUCAGACUGUAGCUGCUCGUCGCUCACAACCCAUGUGCUCUGCGUCUUGUGUAUCUCAUCAAACAUGGAGUUAAACAUCUUGAACCUCUCCUUCAAUACAGGCUUCACCACCUUCCCAUUUACCUGCAACCCUUCGUGGCUCAGACACUGCAGUAAUCUGCUCCAUGUCUCUCUUGUAUAUCCCUUAUGAUAUUGCCUCAGAUCGGUUGACCGCUUUCUACACCAUUUCGCUCCCAUUGUGUCAUUAAUCUCAGUGGAUCCUUUGAUCUUUUGGAGAAUAUACCUUCCAUUGUUCAUCAAGAACACGUAGCGCAACGCAGGGUCUCUGUACAAUUUCGAUUUCAUUUCAAGAUUCUCAUCAAGCAAAUCCAUUAUCGUUUUCAGCUGCACUGAAAAUGGCGACGUUUUUGGAUUGCCAUCUUCAUCGGCGCCUUCUGUGAUCUCUGCAUCCGGCUGGUUGCACUUUCCGGCAUUGGCAUUUCCCUCCUCCGUUUUCUGGUGCUGCUGGAAGACUUGUUCCAAUGUGUUUUUAUAUUCGCAGGCGUAUUUUAGAUAAUUCAUGGUGUAGCGAGUCAAGGGGUGAACUGCACCGCUUGGAACUGGAGUUCUGCUAUGGUCCCUCCUUAUGGAAUCCUCAAGAUCACAGAAAAUGCUCACGGCUGCUUCUCCGAGCAAGCGUUUCGCAGUGAAGGUUUCCCCUUUUAAGUCCCUGGAAUGAGUAGUAUUAUCAAUUGUAGGAAUCAUAUCCCUCAAGGUCUCGUACAUGUCCAAGAAUUUGAAUAGUUUCUCAGCAGAUUGUUUUGUCAUGGCAACAGCUUCUGCGAAAUUGAGAAACAUUACCGUUAUUGAUGAUGCAAGAUCGUUGAAUAAUCUUUGGGACACUGACGGGUACUCUGAAAAGACAAAGUUACAAAGCUUCAGCUCGCCAGGCAAAAGAACUGAGUAACAAUGCUUAAGAACGUCAAUCCAGGCAGAGAUUUCUCCUUCCAGGGUUUCCCACUGCAUCCUCUGCACAUCCUCGAUGCUGGUAUUGGUGAAUCCAAGCUUAUCCAAUUCGCUGUUGAAUGCAGUUUUCCUUAUCAUGUUAUAAGCCAUACAGCACUCCCUCUCGUAACCCAAUGAGAUCAUCGCAGUAGCGAUUUUGUUCAUGUUGGAGAUUGAUUCUUUGGAAUAAGCGGGGAAUUCCUCCCCUAUUGCUGUUUCUGCUUCUGGUUGGACGCCUCCUCGAUCAGAGUUAUCCUGAUGAUGGGAACCGAAAGAUGGUU